This 826-nucleotide long non-coding RNA is filed under the name Mytilus galloprovincialis (Mediterranean mussel). The record is from RNAcentral. Lineage: Eukaryota; Metazoa; Mollusca; Bivalvia; Mytilida; Mytilidae.
AAAAUCAAUCAAAGAGCAGAAUGCUCUGAGGGAUACGAUUGCCAUAUAGUUUUCAUUGACACAUGUAUAGCAGUUCUGCCAACUUUUCAUUAAGCAAAUUCGUGAGAUUUGGACAAAAUAGAAAAUAUCAAAGAGGAAAAAAUUGAUCCAACGAUACUGCUGCAAAAAAGCAUGAACAUGCGUGAGUCUCACACAUUUUUGGCAGCCCUGGCCUUGAAGGCAUAAAACUUUGCUCAGUGCUUGGAGCACAAAAAUCAUGCUCGAAACAAGAAAUCAAGCAAUUUCAUUGGUUGAUUUUCGAGUAUGAGUACAAAAAAACUGACUCGAAAGUUUUAUGACCGCAAGGCCUGGUACAGCUGGAUAGUAUUAUAUUCAAAACUAACUCAACUGCACAUGCAAAGGUAAUAUAAAUCUGAAUAGUCACUCAACUUUAAAAAUAGCUAAUCCCGGAUACAAGUGUACGAGCAAUGUCCUUAUUGUGUUUUAUUUGUGUGCUAUGAAUUCCAAGUUUACUUUCCACAGCAGUCACUGAGAGAGAGAGAGAGAGAGAGAGAGAAGGUAUUUCACUUCAUAGUUCGAGAUUACUCUGAUGUCCGACGGCUGAUUUGCCAGACAAGCUGGGCCCGUGGGGGACUUUUAUGCUAGUAUACUUAAAAAUUACAAACUUAAAUAGUCCCAGUCCCAUAUAUUAUAUCAAGUAUUAUUGGAUGCCGAAUUGAAUUUUAAAUAUAUAGGUGCCGAUUUGACUAGAUGCCGAUUUAACCAGGUGCCGAUUUGACUUUUUCUAUGGGUGCCGAUUUGACCAGGUGCCGAUUUGACUUGUACC